RNAcentral lists this ribosomal RNA (872 nucleotides) under uncultured bacterium. Its description in RNAcentral is "bacterial SSU rRNA". It matches the Rfam family "Bacterial small subunit ribosomal RNA", at positions 51 to 919 of the family's 1533-position model. The record is from RNAcentral.
ACACAUGCAAGUCGAGGGGCAGCGCGGGAUAGCAAUAUCCUGGCGGCGACCGGCGGAAGGGUGCGUAACGCGUGAGCGACAUGCCCGUUGCCCGGGGACAACCGGUGGAAACGCCGACUAAUCCCCGAUGGGAUACGAUGCUUCAUGGCAUUGUAUUGAAAGUUACGGCGGCGACGGAUUGGCUCGCGUCCGAUUAGCUUGUUGGCGGGGUAACGGCCCACCAAGGCUACGAUCGGUAGGGGUUCUGAGAGGAAGGCCCCCCACAAUGGGACUGAGACACGGCCCAUACUCCUACGGGAGGCAGCAGUGAGGAAUAUUGGUCAAUGGGCGGAAGCCUGAACCAGCCAUGCCGCGUGCGGGAAGGAGGCCCUAUGGGCUGUGAACCGCUUUUGCCUGGGGGCAAUAAGGGCGUCGCGCACGUCCGAUGAGAGUACCAGGCGAAUAAGCAUCGGCUAACUCCGUGCCAGCAGCCGCGGUAAUACGGGGGAUGCGAGCGUUAUCCGGAUUCAUUGGGUUUAAAGGGUGCGUAGGCUGUGCGUCAAGUCGGGGGUGAAAUUCCGGUGCUCAACACCGGGGCUGCCCUUGAUACUGUCGCGCUGGAGUGCGGAUGCCGCCGGAGGAAUGAGUGGUGUAGCGGUGAAAUGCUUAGAUAUCACUCAGAACACCGAUUGCGAAGGCAUCUGGCGAAUCCGUAACUGACGCUGAGGCACGAAAGCGUGGGGAUAGAACAGGAUUAGAUACCCUGGUAUUCCACGCCGUAAACGAUGAUGGCUAACCGCCGGCGACACACUGUCGGUGGCCAAGCGAAAGCGAUAAGCCAUCCACCUGGGGAGUACGUCGGCAACGAUGAAACUCAAAGGAAUUGACGGGGG